Long non-coding RNA from Coregonus clupeaformis (lake whitefish), 1640 nucleotides. RefSeq lists it as uncharacterized. The transcript is spliced from 7 exons. The record is from RefSeq and is a predicted model, not a curated record. NCBI's taxonomy places the organism in Eukaryota, Metazoa, Chordata, Actinopteri, Salmoniformes, Salmonidae.
GUUGUUACUAGUUAACCCAGCCACAAAGUCAAAAUUAUGUAUCAUAAAGUUUCGUUAAAAAGAUUGCUCCUUGGUCUUCAUUUAAGGUUAGGCAUAAGGUUAGUAGUGUGGUUAAGGUUAGGUUUAAAAUCAGAUUUUAAGAAGAGAAACUGUAGAAAUACCCGGGGGUUAGCCAUAAUCAUGACUUUGUGGCUGUGGUAACUAGUGACGACCCCGGGUGAGAAGUGGGAGAUUCAAAGGAGCAAAAGAAGCAGUAAUUUUAUAUUUCAUUAAACAAUGCCAUCUACGACCAGUUAAAACGACAAGGAAGACCAAGACAUCGGUGUAAGCAUGGCGACCCCCAAUAUGACCCCCACCCCGGGUGCUGACCCUAAGCAGCUGGAGAGAACAGGGACGGUCCGGGAGAUCGGCACUCAGGCCGUGUGGUCUCGGUGCUCCUGUAAACCAGAUAUUGUGUGAAGGUGGAUAUCUGGGCUGCAGGAGUCAUCACCUACGUCCUACUGUGUGGGUUCCCUCCGUUCCGCAGUCUCACUCCUCUCCUACAGUGAGAAUAACGACCAGGAGGAGUUGUUGGACCAGAUACUCAGGGGGAAGCUGGAGUUCCCUUCCCCCAGACUGGGACACAGUCAGCCUGCCGGCCAAGAUGCUGAUUGGUCAGAUGCUGCAAGUGAACGUGGAUAUACUGCAGAGGAGGGCGAGGCGAACCAAGAGAACAGCAAUGUGAACACAGAGACAUCAUCGUCAGCUACAGUGACCCCUGACCUUCCAGUGACCCCUACAACCCAGGCAGCGACCUUUGACACUAUGACCCCGGGAGCACAGAGUAGCCCCGCCCCGCCCAACACAACAAAUACCAACACUAAACCUGUUACCUCUCCACUCUGCUGAGGACACAUCCCAUUUCAGACCCUAGGUUCUUCCACUACCUAGCUGAGGAGGUGUACACACCCGUCGAGGAGAGCUCCAUUGGCAAGUUCCCACGAUGCACCACAGUGGACAUCAUGAUGUACCGCACCAUCAGAUGAUACGGAGGGUUCCGGGGUUCCGAGUAUAAACCUCUCAGGGUUCCGAGUUAGAACCUUCCAGGGUUCCGGGUAGAAUCCUUUAGUUGACAUAUAAGGGAAUUGGAAUGCCUAGUUUUUAUAUUGAAAUAUUAUUAUUGUGAGUUAAGCUGCAAAGGUCCUUGGGUGCAGGGUAUUCCAGUCUCUGGAUGCGUCUCAAUUGAUUGAAUUGUUCACUAUGGGCCCUGGUCUAAAGUAGUGCACUGUAUAGGGAAUAGGGUGCCAUUUGGGAAGCAGUGUCUGUGUUAUUGAUGCUUUCGGUUGGUGUCUGAUAUAUAAAGAUGAUGAGACCUUUUAAAGGCAGCGGUCGAGGCCCCCAAACCCAAGGCUAAUACCCAUGUGACUAUGUCUACUGUCAAAUGUCCCUCUCUGUUGAGCCCCAUAGGUCUGCUUUUACUAGCUGACUGUCUAAUCCUAGUAAGUGUUAGACCACAGUUUAACCAGCAGGAGGCACUGUCUCCCCUCUGAAGGGAGGAUGGGGCCAGUCAAGAAAGCAAGGCUGGGUAAUGAAAUGAGAAUUAUGUUUCCACUGAUAAUUCAGGAAUACUAUAUUCUUCUCUGAUUUUGAGAGAAGAUGGG